CAGUAGCCGCGGGAAUACGAGGGGGGCAAGCGUUGUUCGGAAUUAUUGGGCGUAAAGGGUGCGUAGGCGGUUUGAUAAGUCUUGUGUGAAAUCUCUGGGCUCAACCCAGAGUCUGCACAGGAAACUGUCGGGCUUGAGAGUGGGAGAGGUGAGUGGAAUUUCCGGUGUAGCGGUGAAAUGCGUAGAUAUCGGAAGGAACACCUGUGGCGAAAGCGGCUCACUGGACCAUUUCUGACGCUGAUGCACGAAAGCUAGGGGAGCAAACAGGAUUAGAUACCCCCGUAGUCCCUGUCUCUUAUAC
RNAcentral lists this ribosomal RNA (301 nucleotides) under uncultured bacterium. RNAcentral describes it as "partial 16S ribosomal RNA". It matches the Rfam family "Bacterial small subunit ribosomal RNA", at positions 509 to 807 of the family's 1533-position model. The record is from RNAcentral.